AUACUUACCUGGAUGGGGUCUAUGGCUGAUCAAGAAGAGUCAUGGCCUAGGCUAUUGUCCUUCAUUGCACUUUGGGAGGAGCAUUAGUCUACCAUCUUCUCAAGUAGGAGAGUGGAAAUCAUAAUUUGUGGUAGAGAGGAUAUGCGUUCGCGCGGUCCCUAC
Non-coding RNA from Zea mays, 162 nucleotides. Lineage: Eukaryota; Viridiplantae; Streptophyta; Magnoliopsida; Poales; Poaceae. The record is from Rfam.